GCCGGGCGUGGUGGCGGGCGCCUGUAAUCCCAGCUACUCAGGAGGCUGAGGCAGGAGAAUCGCUUGAACCCAGGAAGUGCAGGUUGCAGUGAGCCGAGAUCACACCAGCCUGGCUGAUACAGCGAGACUCUGCCUCAA
Unclassified non-coding RNA from Macaca fascicularis (crab-eating macaque), 138 nucleotides. It matches the Rfam family "Metazoan signal recognition particle RNA". Rfam says of the family: The signal recognition particle (SRP) is a universally conserved ribonucleoprotein. It is involved in the co-translational targeting of proteins to membranes. The eukaryotic SRP consists of a 300-nucleotide 7S RNA and six proteins: SRPs 72, 68, 54, 19, 14, and 9. NCBI's taxonomy places the organism in Eukaryota, Metazoa, Chordata, Mammalia, Primates, Cercopithecidae. The record is from Ensembl.